RNAcentral lists this long non-coding RNA (273 nucleotides) under Phoenix dactylifera (date palm). RNAcentral's name for it is "long non-coding RNA (PDAC_LNC007677)". The record is from RNAcentral. Lineage: Eukaryota; Viridiplantae; Streptophyta; Magnoliopsida; Arecales; Arecaceae.
AGGGGCUGGUGGAAGAGCUUGAGAAGAAAGCGCACCCUGUCAAGGGACGUGAUGAUAUCAAAGGUAUCAUAACCUGACGUGAUGAUAUCAAAGGUAUCAUAACCUUGAUGUGGAUAUGCUUCUAACUGCUGUUGCAUUUUUUGUUUUCGGAUGAUCAGCUACUUUGUGAGGUCAGGAGUUGUAUUGCACUUUAAAAAGUGUUCGCCUAUCAAGUGUUAAAACUAAUGGUAUUACUAAUUUAGUUCCUUGUAAAUAGGUUUUGUUUUUACUGAA